GAUGAACGCUGGCGGCGUGCCUAAUACAUGCGAGUCGAGCGAACAGACGAGGAGCUUGCUCCUCUGACGUUAGCGGCGGACGGGUGAGUAACACGUGGAUAACCUACCUAUAAGACUGGGAUAACUUCGGGAAACCGGCGCUAAUACCGGAUAAUAUAUUGAACCGCAUGGUUCAAUAGUGAAAGACGGUUUUGCUGUCACUUAUAGAUGGAUCCGCGCCGCAUUAGCUAGUUGGUAAGGUAACGGCUUACCAAGGCGACGAUGCGUAGCCGACCUGAGAGGGUGAUCGGCCACACUGGAACUGAGACACGGUCCAGACUCCUACGGUAGGCAGCAGUAGGGAAUCUUCCGCAAUGGGCGAAAGCCGGACGGAGCAACGCCGCGGGAGUGAUGAAGGUCUUCGGAUCGGAAAACUCUGUUAUUAGGGAAGAACAAAUGUGUAAGUAACUAUGCACGUCUUGACGGUACCUAAUCAGAAAGCCACGGCUAACUACGUG
This 497-nucleotide ribosomal RNA is filed under the name uncultured bacterium. Its description in RNAcentral is "partial 16S ribosomal RNA". It matches the Rfam family "Bacterial small subunit ribosomal RNA", at positions 28 to 507 of the family's 1533-position model. The record is from RNAcentral.